GUGGGGAAUCUUCCGCAAUGGACGAAAGUCUGACGGAGCAACGCCGCGUGAGUGAUGAAGGUCUUCGGAUUGUAAAGCUCUGUUAAUCGGGACGAAAGAGCCUAGUGUGAAUAAUGCUAGGAAGUGACGGUACCGGAAUAGAAAGCCACGGCUAACUACGUGCCAGCAGCCGCGGUAAUACGUAGGUGGCAAGCGUUGUCCGGAAUUAUUGGGCGUAAAGCGCGCGCAGGCGGAUCUGCCAGUCUGUCUUAAAAGUUCGGGGCUUAACCCCGUGAUGGGAUGGAAACUACAGAUCUAGAGUAUCGGAGAGGAAAGUGGAAUUCCUAGUGUAGCGGUGAAAUGCGUAGAUAUUAGGAAGAACACCAGUGGCGAAGGCGACUUUCUGGACGAAAACUGACGCUGAGGCGCGAAAGCCAGGGGAGCGAACGGGAUUAGAAACCCUGGUAGCC
Molecule: ribosomal RNA, 449 nt
Filed under: uncultured bacterium
Lineage: Bacteria
Description: partial 16S ribosomal RNA
Rfam family: Bacterial small subunit ribosomal RNA
Source: RNAcentral